This 673-nucleotide long non-coding RNA is filed under the name Homo sapiens (human). RNAcentral's name for it is "non-protein coding lnc-N4BP1-3:1". The record is from RNAcentral. Lineage: Eukaryota; Metazoa; Chordata; Mammalia; Primates; Hominidae.
GUGUUGGCCGGGCUGGUCUCCAGCUCCUGACCGCGAGUGAUCUGCCCGCCUCGGCCUCCUGAGGUGCCGGGAUUGCAGGCGGAGUCUCGCUCACUCAGUGCUCAAUGUUGCCCAGGCUGGAGUGCAGUGGCGUGAUCUCGGCUAGCUACAACCUCCACCUCCCAGCCGCCUGCCUUGGCCUCCCAAAGCGCCGAGAUUGCAGCCUCUGCCCGGCCGCCACCCCGUCUGGGAAGUGAGGAGCGUCUCUGCCUGGCCGCCCAUCGUCUGGGAUGUGAGGAGCCCCUCUGCCCGGCCGCCCAGUCUGGGAAGUGAGGAUCGCCUCUUCCCGGCCGCCAUCCCGUCUGGGAAGUGAGGAGCGUCUCUGCCCGGUCGCCCGUCGUCUGAGAUGUGGGGAGCGCCUCUGCCCCGCGGCCCUGUCUGGGAUGUGAGGAGUGCCUCUGCCCGGCUGCGACCCCGUCUGGGAACUGAGGAGUGUCUCUGCCAGACCGCCACCCCGUCUGGGAGGAGUCUAUAAAGCAUCAACUCAAAGUGACAAGAAGUGGACACAUAUUCUAAGGGAGCUCCCCAGGACAAAAGGAAGAUGGAGGAAAUGGUCUCUGAAGGGAAGUGGGGAAAGUAAGAAGUAACUUGGACUCUUCUAGAGGAGAGCAGGCACAAACUAAGCCAAGAAAAG